RNAcentral lists this ribosomal RNA (271 nucleotides) under uncultured archaeon. RNAcentral's name for it is "partial 16S ribosomal RNA". It matches the Rfam family "Archaeal small subunit ribosomal RNA", at positions 477 to 747 of the family's 1478-position model. The record is from RNAcentral.
CAGCGCCACGAGUGGUGACCAUUUUUAUUGGGCUUAAAGCGUCCGUAGCCGGUUUAACAAGUCUUUUGUGAAAUCGUCCAGCUUAACUGGACGACGUGCAGGAGAAACUGUUAGACUUGGAACCGGGAGAGGUCAGAAGUAUUCUUGGGGGAGCGGUAAAAUGUUAUAAUCCCAAGAGGACUACCGAUGGCGAAGGCAUCUGACCAGAACGGAUUCGACGGUGAGGGACGAAGGCUAGGGGAGCAAACCGGAUUAGAUACCCGUGUAGUCC